UAGGGAAUCUUCGGCAAUGGACGAAAGUCUGACCGAGCAACGCCGCGUGAGUGAAGAAGGUUUUCGGAUCGUAAAAUUCUGUUGUUAGAGAAGAACAAGGACGUUAGUAACUGAACGUCCCCUGACGGUAUCUAACCAGAAAGCCACGGCUAACUACGUGCCAGCAGCCGCGGUACUACGUAGGUGGCAAGCGUUGUCCGGAUUUAUUGGGCGUAAAGCGAGCGCAGGCGGUUUCUUAAGGCUGAUGUGAAAGCCCCCGGCUCAACCGGGGAGGGUAAUUGGGAACUGGGAGACUUGGCUGCAGGAGAGGAGAGUGGAAUUGCAUGUGGAGCGGUGAACUGCGUAGAUAUAUGGAGGAACAGCAGUGACGAAGGCGGCUCUCUGGUCAGUAAGUGACGCUGAGGCUCGAAAGCGUGGGGAGCAAACAGG
Molecule: ribosomal RNA, 429 nt
Filed under: Gemmatimonadota bacterium
Lineage: Bacteria; Pseudomonadati; Gemmatimonadota
Description: Gemmatimonadetes bacterium partial 16S ribosomal RNA
Rfam family: Bacterial small subunit ribosomal RNA
Source: RNAcentral